RNAcentral lists this ribosomal RNA (424 nucleotides) under uncultured bacterium. Its description in RNAcentral is "bacterial SSU rRNA". It matches the Rfam family "Bacterial small subunit ribosomal RNA", at positions 344 to 767 of the family's 1533-position model. The record is from RNAcentral.
GGAGGCAGCAGUGAGGAAUAUUGGUCAAUGGACGAGAGUCUGAACCAGCCAAGUAGCGUGAAGGAUGACUGCCUAUGGGUUGUAAACUUCUUUUAUACGGGAAUAAGUGAGGCACGUGUGCCUUUUUGUAUGUACCGUAUGAAUAAGGAUCGGCUAACUCCGUGCCAGCAGCCGCGGUAAUACGGAGGAUCCGAGCGUUAUCCGGAUUUAUUGGGUUUAAAGGGAGCGUAGGCGGACGCUUAAGUCAGUUGUGAAAGUUUGCGGCUCAACCGUAAAAUUGCAGUUGAUACUGGGUGUCUUGAGUACAGUAGAGGCAGGCGGAAUUCGUGGUGUAGCGGUGAAAUGCUUAGAUAUCACGAAGAACUCUGAUUGCGAAGGCAGCCUGCUGGACUGUAACUGACGCUGAUGCUCGAAAGUGUGGGUA